This is a long non-coding RNA of Cyphomyrmex costatus, 412 nucleotides long. RefSeq lists it as uncharacterized. The record is from RefSeq and is a predicted model, not a curated record. The transcript has 3 exons. Lineage: Eukaryota; Metazoa; Arthropoda; Insecta; Hymenoptera; Formicidae.
UGAUAUAUUUUAAAGAAAUUAUACGGCAACAGCAUCUCUUUAAAGCACGGAUUUGGCAACAAAGUGAUAAUCCAAGAGACAUUAAAAAUGCAUUAGAGAAUCUGCAGCUUAAUACAAAUAGCAAUAAUGUAAAACUUUAAAAGUUGGACGAAAAAGUGCUUACAAAUUUGUAAAACGCAACUUGAGCCAAAUUCCCACCAAUAAACGAGCUGCUAAAUACAGUUGGCUGGGAAGGAAGAAUAAAUAACGUACAUUCCGUACAUCAAAGCUAUCACAGUUAUUAAUCGCUGCAAACGAGAAAGUCAAUGCUACUUUUACAAGAAAGGAUAUCGAAGAAGCAAUAUAAAAAUGGCUGAAAAGACCGAAAGAAAUAAGGUAUGAUGCGGAACAAAAAAGAUUGAAUACUCAAAGG